UUUUUGUAAAAAGAAAUUAAAAUUUAUUGACAACUCAAAGGACACAAACACUUAAUUUGAUCCUGUUUGUUUCCUUUAAAAGCUAUUUUUAAGACAGGCUCUGCAGCCAUUUCUGAGUCUCUGAAGAAGGCCAUAUCUGAAAUAUUUGAUUGUAAUAAUGAUAGCAGAUCUUAGUGAACUUUGAAUAAUCUGUCACAUGAAACAGCAAACUGAAAAUUUGGGGUUCUGUUGUUGAAGUAAUAAAAUAAAACUAAAUAUCAGAGCAUUGUAUUAUUAAACAUGAAGAUUAAUCUUCUACAGCAGUGCCUUAAUGCUGUGCAACUAAAAUGAAUGUUCCAACUAUUUUUUGGAAAAAAAAUGUUUUGUGCUUUGCUUUCCAUAGGAGAAGCAAUGAAUGGAGAACAAUUCCAUUGGCUGUUACAAUGCAGAGGCGUUUUUUAAAAAUAAUUCAAGGAGGAUAAAACUCACUCUGCAGACAUCCAUAGCGAGCUCCAAGGGAGAGAAUAAAGGAAGUGGAAAAGACAGGUAAACUGAGAAUUUAUUGUGUGUAUGAUAUAGAAAGGCCACACAAAGUUAUCUAAAGAGAGGAGAUUUCUGCUUUGGGUGUUCUUUAUGUUCUUCUGAAGGGCUGUGGAGACUUGGCUCUAACCAAUAAUGAUAUUUUUUCCUUUCACUGAUCCACACAUGUAUUCUUAGAUUUGCAAAGAAAGAUAUCAAACAGAAUUAUUAUCUUUAUUUAAACCCAUCUGUCCCGAGCUAAACUCUUUCAGACUUCCCCUUAACUGGCAGCUAAUCAGCAGGCACUUCUCCCGUGUCAGAGCUCACCCCUUCAUGUGAAUUUUGUGAAGAAAACCCAUUUCUCUGUAUUCAAAAGCAACGAUUCACAGUACCUCACUGUACACUCUGCUCUGCAUCCUACUGAUUAUCUCCCCUUGGAGCUGGAAUUGUGCCAUUUCCACUGAAAAUCCAAACUGUAGUCAAAUGCCAGCCUCUGUUUGUUGGAGGUCAGGCUUUAAGUCCCUUUUCCUGAAGGAUUAAAGAGCUGCAGUUAAGUAGCUCUGGCAGGUGAGUUCAGUGAGCAGCAGCUCUGGUUAAAAGCAGAAUGCUGAAGGAAGAGAGGCUCUGAAUUAAAUCAAUCUGCAUUAGGCACUGCUUCUCCUUUACAGAAUUUAGGCUUCUUUUGGGAUUCAGCAGCUGCUUCUUCCCAGAGCUGUAAAUCCAUAAAAACCCCUGAGUGCUGAUUGCUGCAUUGUUUGACACCCAUCCAGCCCCUGGGGUUGGCAAUCACCGAGCUCAGGAUGGAGGGGAGCUUGAUCAAAUUGUUGUUGGCCUCCAGCAGUCCCU
This 1344-nucleotide long non-coding RNA is filed under the name Cyanistes caeruleus (blue tit). Its description in RNAcentral is "lncRNA (ENSCCEG00000018212.1)". The record is from RNAcentral. Lineage: Eukaryota; Metazoa; Chordata; Aves; Passeriformes; Paridae.